RNAcentral lists this ribosomal RNA (497 nucleotides) under uncultured bacterium. RNAcentral's name for it is "partial 16S ribosomal RNA". It matches the Rfam family "Bacterial small subunit ribosomal RNA", at positions 28 to 507 of the family's 1533-position model. The record is from RNAcentral.
GAUGAACGCUGGCGGCGUGCCUAAUACAUGCAAGUCGAGCGAACGGACGAGAAGCUUGCUUUUCUGAUGUUAGCGGCGGACGGGUGAGUAACACGUGGAUAACCUACCUAUAAGACUGGGAUAACUUCGGGAAACCGGAGCUAAUACCGGAUAAUAUUUUGAACCGCAUGGUUCAAAAGUGAAAGACGGUCUUGCUGUCACUUAUAGAUGGAUCCGCGCUGCAUUAGCUAGUUGGUAAGGUAACGGCUUACCAAGGCAACGAUGCAUAGCCGACCUGAGAGAGUGAGCGGCCACACUGGAACUGAGACACAAUCCAGACUACUACGGGGAGCAGCAGUAGGGAAUCUUCCGCAAUGGGCGAAAGCCUGACGGAGCAAAGCCGCGUGAGUGAUGAAGGUCUACGGAUCGUAAAACUCUGUUAUUAGGGAAGAACAUAUGUGUAAGUAACUGUGCACAUCUUGACGGUACCUAAUCAGAAAGCCACGGCUAACUACGUG